GUUGUUGCGGGAUCUCACAGGCUUUAAACCGCGGCGCCGCGGCGCCCGGGUGUGGAUCCCUAGAUGGGAGCCGGGGAUGGGCCGGGUGCCUGGUGGGUGGCAGUCGGGGCUGACGGCGGCGGCACUUUGCCGCCUCAGGCCCUGGACACCUUCACCCCGCCGCCUGCCCAGGCGGGCCGGCCCUGCCCGUCCACCGGCCGCCGAGAGUCCCCGGCCUUGGGUCCCCGGGGCCGCUGACUGGCCUCGGUCACCUCCCGGGGAAGGCUCCCGCGCCUCCAUCUGCCCCCGCAGGAAGGGACCCUCUUCUCGCCCGCGAGGCUUCUCCGGGUGGGAUCGUCCUGGCCCCCAGCCCUAAGGGAUCCGCCCCCUCCGAGCAUCCGCCGCCCCUCGGAGACCACUCCAGCUCGGACGGACCCACUCCAGCCCCCGCUGCACGCGGAAGCGCUCAUCCUCCCCGCCUGCCCCGUUCCCUCCCCCUUCUCCUGUGGGACAACCAGGGACCGCAGCUCCCCGCUCCCCAGGUGUGGGGGCUCCGACACGAACGCCUCUGCUCGCAGGGCGGUGAGCGCAGAUCCCACGGGUCCCUCGGUCGGGGGUCGAGGCUGCUUCCGUUUCCAUCCCGGACCCGACAAUGGGCGGGAAAAAGAAGGCUUUACACGACUACGCGGCGGAGUUCACCGACCUGGUGGUGAAGCACCUGAUUGAGCACAGUGACUCUGGGGACACGUCUGUGGUGGAGACCCUUUACUGCAGGGCCUGCGAGCUGCCCGUGCGCGUGCGGAGGGACCGCAUCCUGGAACACCUGUCCUCGGGCAGGCAGCACGGCCUGCGGACGCCCAUUCUCAUGUAAAUGUCAGUGCCAACGCUGGUGUUUCAGGAGUCAUCCCAGCGGGCUGCGGGCUAUUUUAGGAUUCUCUGCCCUGCAAACGUUUCCAAAGUACGUGGACAGGCCGCCUGAUGACACUACGUUUACGGGAUCUGCUAGUGGCUUGCCUACUUAGGGAGUAAACCCUGUGAAGUCUCGCAGUUUUGUUAAAGUGUGCGUGGCCACCUGAAUGCUGCCUUAUCACAAGCCAGAUACAUACUGGUCUGUAGGGUAACUCCCCACUGUUGAUCCUCUGAGAUGAUUGUGGACUGGGUGCUGUGAGUCCUGCCACUUUGUUUAAGUGAAUGUGUCUUUUGUCCAGCUCAGCCGCCUCGGAUCUCGCUGCCACCAGCCUUACUGCACACCCGUGCCACCCGCCCUUGCCCCGUCAGCCUCAGCCUCAGCUCAUUCUCUCAGGCAGUCCCAGCAUUGGCACGGUACCUCCUCCCGCUGUGGGCCACACGUCUCUGCUCCCUGUCAACCCUCCUGCCAUCAGCACCACCACCAGCGACUUGUCUGCCCGGGAGGAUGCAACACCAUCUGCCUCCACCGGCCACCUUUCAGUGUUUCCUGCUUUCCAAGUAAAGAUACCAGCAGUGCCCUCAGAGCAGACCAGCCAGAGUUUUUCUGAAGCCUCCCACAGGGUGCUCCCCGGAGGAGGCCCGAGAUGCUCUCGUGACUUUGGAGCCGGGGUGGCUGGCCACCUUGGCCUGGGCAUCUUUGGGGUGGGCUUCGGGAGCCCGGCACUGCUGCAGAGUGUGGUGGAUGAGAACAGCUGCUGCUUGCUGUACGUGGUGGAGGACCAGCUGUGUGAUGUGGAGCAAGCCUUCAGAGCUGAGCAUUUGGGCCAACACCAGAGUGGUUCGGGAACAGGAUGCAGACAUUGUCCUCAACGACCAGCGGCACUUUGAUCCGGUUUUCCAGUUCUUGCACAAGCAAGUUUGUGUCAGCCACGCCCUGGGGAGGAUCCACUGGAUCACCGCCGUCACUGCCUGUUCCCGGCGGCCUCUCCGGCUUCCCUAAAGAGAGCAGCUUCCCUCGAGACCAGAAGCCAGAGCUCACCCUCCCUUGUGUCCAGGUGGGACUUUCUACAACGCUGCUGUGCACGACGUGGAUGCCGUAUGCAUGUUGCUGGGGGAAGCCACUCCGGACACUGUGUUUUCUCUGGGACAUGUCUUCUGCCCAGAUAUGGCCGCCUUAAAAGAUGCAGAUGCUGUUGUGAUCAGCAUGAAGUUUCCCUGUGAGGCCGUGGUUAGCGUGGACAUCAGCCAGCACUGCACAGACAGCUGCGACCAGGACGUCAGCCAGCACUGCACAGACAGCUGCGACCAGAGACUGGAGAUGGAGUCUUGCCCUGUCACCCAGGCUGGAGUGCAAUGGUGCGAUCUCGGCUCACUGCAACCUCCGUCUCCCAGGUUCAAGCGAUUCUUCUGCCUCAGCCUUCUGAGUAGCUGGGAUUACACGCGUGUGCCACCACGCUCGGCUAAUUUUUGUAUUUUUAGUAGAGAUGGGAUUUCACCAUGUUGGCCAGGCUGGUCUCGAACUACUGACCUCGUGAUCCACCUGCCAUGGCCUCCCAAAGUGCUGGGAUUACAGGCGUGAGCCACCAUGCUCGGCCUAAAAAACAAUUUUCUUGAAGAAUCCGAUUUUGUGCAUAGUAAUGACACAGCACCAUUCCUGAGAAAUAGGAAAUAUAUGUGUGUGGUAUGAAAAGCCCAUAUUCUGUUCUUGUCACCUGAAUCUAGGCUUCCUCUUUGGAUGUGAACGCGGGAAUGAACAGUGGCUGUUUUCCACCCAAAGGGGCGUGGAGACCUUUUGGAAACGGGCUUUCUCCUUUCCAUUUUGCAGCCGGGGGCGGGUGGAAACCUUCCUUCGAAGGGUAGUGCCUUGGGGAGCAGCAGACCUGCUCUGAGUCCAGCUUAGCUUUCCAAAAUUCUGUGUGGAACUUACUGGAGAUGUUUUUAUAUAUUUGAAAAUAAUGGCCUGUAUUUCUCACGCUAUACUUAAAAAAAAUAACUAACCUUUUAAACAAAGAUAUUCAAACUCACCCUUGUGCUGAAAGCACUCACAUUUCUGUGUUCAUUCCUGAAAGGGCGUUUUAGAGUCCCCGUUUCUACGUUCUAUGUGGCACCCUCUUGCCGAGGGAACAUCCAGAAUCCCUCCACUUCCUGUCUAGUUUGAGGCCUCAACACCUUCAUGAUCCAGAGUCCUGCGGCUAUGAGGGGGUGGGCCCACCACCGCCCAGCCCUCCUUGGUGGACGUGGGGACAGGUAGGAGCCUAGGGAAAGGGGUGGGCGGGCUCUGGUGUGACGGCGUGAGCGCUAGCCAGGAAGAUGGGGCCAGGGCUUGGCAUGGCACCUCACCUGUGGGGGAACUCGGCGGAGCUUCCUGGCGGCAUCUCCCCCUCUUGCCUUGGUCCUUUCUAUCUUUGUUUUAGGCCAAUUUCUAAAAAGACUGAGGCCUCCUUCAAGGUUGAACAGAUUUCUAGAGCCUUGUUUUUGCUGUGACAAGUCCCUAGUCCCUGUUCACAACUCUGAAACCAAGAAACCUGAGAACCAAGAGAACUGAAAUGAAGCCCGUUGGUCUCAGCCUGGCUUGAGCCAACAUGAGGCUCUCUGCUGCCUUUUGUUUUCUUAGGUUUUGCUGAGAAACGGGAGUGCGUUCUGUGUCGGUGUUUGUGACGCCCUGAGACCCUGCUUGGCCUAGCUAAAGUCCAGAAGGCCUGGGCCCCACAGGGCUUGGAUGAGGGCUCAUGGGCCUGUACUUCAGGAGGCCUGAGAGGCCCGGUCAGUCCCAUGAGGCUACUCGGCUUGGCCCGCAGGUCCUCCGAGGCACAGGGCAGAGGGACACCCCAGGGACCCAUCAGACUCACGACACAGAGAAACUCAAGUGGGGUGCCAGGGCCGGCCACAGAGGCCACGGGCUUCCUGCCUGUGAGGAGCCGCCCUGUUUGUCUGAGCCCUUUGGAGAUUUAGGUUGAGUCAUGAGAACCGGUCAUUGGAACAUACACUUUAUUAUGUUACAAAAACAAAAAUCCCCACUGAAACACAGCUAAAAAAAUAACACAUUUUCCCAAGAUUACAUUACCAAAAACAGUUGUUAUGUCAUUGGAGGGCGUCCAUUAAUACUGCUCGGAGAAGCACGAUCUUACACGAAAAACACGGAUGGGAUUUCGUUUUCACCUUAAAGCAUUAAAGUGCUUUAACUGGUAA
Molecule: long non-coding RNA, 4077 nt
Filed under: Homo sapiens (human)
Lineage: Eukaryota; Metazoa; Chordata; Mammalia; Primates; Hominidae
Description: non-protein coding lnc-LRRC47-78:8
Source: RNAcentral